GCGGGUGUGGCGAAAUUGGUAGACGCACCAGAUUUAGGUUCUGGCGCCGCGAGGCGUGUGAGUUCAAGUCUCUCCACCCGCACCA
This 85-nucleotide transfer RNA is filed under the name Candidatus Schmidhempelia bombi str. Bimp. RNAcentral's name for it is "tRNA-Leu". It matches the Rfam family "tRNA". Rfam says of the family: Transfer RNA (tRNA) molecules are approximately 80 nucleotides in length. Their secondary structure includes four short double-helical elements and three loops (D, anti-codon, and T loops). Further hydrogen bonds mediate the characteristic L-shaped molecular structure. tRNAs have two regions of fundamental functional importance: the anti-codon, which is responsible for specific mRNA codon recognition, and the 3' end, to which the tRNAs corresponding amino acid is attached (by aminoacyl-tRNA synthetases). tRNAs cope with the degeneracy of the genetic code in two manners: having more than one tRNA (with a specific anti-codon) for a particular amino acid; and 'wobble' base-pairing, i.e. permitting non-standard base-pairing at the 3rd anti-codon position. Lineage: Bacteria; Pseudomonadati; Pseudomonadota; Gammaproteobacteria; Orbales; Orbaceae. The record is from RNAcentral. RNAcentral also lists the same sequence under 5 other names.